CAUGAAGUAGAGGAGACAGGACGAGGGAGAAAGGACGAAGGAAGCAUCAGUUGGAGCAGUUCAGCAUGAGCCACAUGAACCACGGUCCGUGCGUGGACAAGGCGACGUGGAUGUACACGACGUUGCCUUGGAGAUCGAGGCGCGGGCAGAAACAGUACAAACAAUAAGAGCCGUUGUUAAAAACAGCCACAACCAUGACAUGAUGGCAUCAUUUCCACAUAAAAGAUAUGCUACGGUUUCACGUCACAGCUGAACCGCUGAGGUUCUGCUCCAAACCCGGCAACACACAGACUUUAACAACAGUUCCUCCAGCCACCACCACAGUGGCCAUGACCACGGAAUCAACUACCACCGGAGCAACAACUACCACAGGAGCAACCAACACCACAGUGGCCAUGACCACAGGAGCAACUACGACCGGAGCAACUACGACCGGAGCAACAACUACCACCGGAGCAACAACUACCACCGGAGCAACAACUACCACAGGAGCAACAACUACCACAGGAGCAACCACCACCACAGUGGCCAUGACCACAGGAGCAACUACGACCGGAGCAACUACGACCGGAGCAACAACUACCACAGGAGCAACAACUACCACAGGAGUAACUACGACCGGGGGAUCAACUACCACCGGAGGAUCAACUACCACCGGAGCAACUACCACCGGGGGAUCAACUACCACCGGAGCAACUACGACCGGGGGAUCAACUACCACCGGGGGAUCAACUACCACCGGAGGAUCAACUACCACCGGAGCAACUACCACCGGAGGAUCAACCGCCACUGUAUCCACAACAAAAGCCACCUCUUCAGCAGCCAUAAACAAAACAAGCUUCCUUCUACUCACAUCAGUUGUCUCCUCACUUCUUUGGAAAUGAAUUUGCUCAAAUGAGGGACCAAACAGCUUGUUUGUAGUUGACACACUGAUGUUUAUAUGAAGGCGCAGCCUGAUUUGUGAGGCUUUAUUGUCAGGUUCUCUUCUUUUGUCCUGUUUAUAUUAAAGACGUAGAAAGGCAGCGUUCAACAGAUCUAAGUGACCCACACAGUGUGGCGACAGCUCUGUAGAACACUGUAGAUGCAUAAAACAUGUCCAAAUAUUAAAAGCACACAAACAUAGCAAACGUUGCUGCCUCAUCCUGUGUCUUUAUUUUGACUUAUGACUUACAGCAUA
This 1177-nucleotide long non-coding RNA is filed under the name Betta splendens (Siamese fighting fish). RNAcentral's name for it is "lncRNA (ENSBSLG00000004402.1)". The record is from RNAcentral. Lineage: Eukaryota; Metazoa; Chordata; Actinopteri; Anabantiformes; Osphronemidae.